Molecule: long non-coding RNA, 975 nt
Organism: Triplophysa dalaica
Lineage: Eukaryota; Metazoa; Chordata; Actinopteri; Cypriniformes; Nemacheilidae
Exons: 3
Source: RefSeq, a predicted model, not a curated record
GUGCCCACUCCCUUGGCUGAGAAGCAACCCCACACAUGAAUGGUCCCAGGAUCCUUUACUGUUGGCAUGACACAGGGCUGAUAGCAUCACUCACCUUUUCUCCUCCGAACAAUCUUUUUUCUGGAUGCCCCAAACAAUCGGAAAGAUGCACUCACAGCUGCCUGCUGCCAUUCCUGAGCAAACUCUGCACUGGUGAAUCCAGAUCUCACAGCUGAAUCAGCUGUAGACGACGAUCCUGGCGCUUGCUGGACUUUCUUGGGCGCCCUGAAGCCUUCUUCCAAACAAUUAAACCUCUCUUUCUGCUGAUCCGAUAAAUGGUUGAUGUCACCAUGGUUAACAGAGGCAGGAUGUGUUUAAUCGCCUGAGUCUGCUUCUUCACUACUGAUAACUGCCUUUAAAAGUCCUUGAUAGUGUCACCAAUCAACCCGCCUUGGGAAUUGGGCGUGUAGAGAAAGAGAACUUUCUCAGUGUCCUUCAUCUCCACAAGGUUGAGCCACAAGUGCUGCACCUGGACCACCAAAGUGGACAUCGUGUGACCCAGGGCGUGUGUUGUGUCCAUAAGUGGGAGAGAUGAAACAUCCGCAUUCAAAAUUGCAGGGGCAAAUCAACAUCUUUUAAAAAAACAGUGUAAGAGCUCAAUUAACACUCAUAACUAUACCUGCCAAAGCACCCAGGGGAAAUUUAAUCGCUGCAAGGAAACAGGUGCACAGGCAUCCAAAGGAAACAAGAUGAGCCACAAUUCAUAAUAAAUAUACAGCAUACUGGCCUACUUUUAUACACGGAUAUCUGGGGUGGAGUCAGGAACACAAAUUUGAUUUGCCAAUUCUCCUUCUUUUUUAAACAGAUCAGAGGUUAUUGGGUUUCAGGAGCAUACCCCUAAUCUCAUCAUCGUCAUAACGUCAAAGUGACUGACAGAAGGGGAACUAAAGUUUACAGCAACUUUUACACUAGAUUACAGAAACAUAAAGCUCACCA